GCAUAGAACUGGCACUCAGGAGGCAUGGCACUCUGGCGAGCAUACCAGAGGGCCCUGGCUGCACAUCCGUGGAAAGUCCAGGUUCUGACAGCUGGCAGGGCUUCUCUGUGUUCCUGGCUGCUGUGGAACUCAGUCUGUGUGCCAGGAUGGCCUUCAACUGACAGAUCCACUUGCCUCUCCCUCCCAGAUACUGGGAUUAAAGGGUUGUGCCACCACUGCAUAGCCUAAGUAGUCCAUUCUUAAGAGCAUUUCCCCCAAGAGACUUCAUCUUGGGAAGCUAAAUGUUUUCCUCUUACACUUUAUAGUGUGCUGAGCACAUUGUGUACAUGCUUGGUAGUGUCCAAAGUUCUGUUAGCUGGAAUGACUCCACAUUAAAUCACACAUCCAACAAG
RNAcentral lists this long non-coding RNA (392 nucleotides) under Rattus norvegicus (Norway rat). Its description in RNAcentral is "long non-coding RNA NONRATT024078". Lineage: Eukaryota; Metazoa; Chordata; Mammalia; Rodentia; Muridae. The record is from RNAcentral.